Molecule: long non-coding RNA, 358 nt
Filed under: Dromaius novaehollandiae (emu)
Lineage: Eukaryota; Metazoa; Chordata; Aves; Casuariiformes; Dromaiidae
Description: lncRNA (ENSDNVG00000000102.1)
Source: RNAcentral
AAACUUGUCUGCAAAAAACCAAACAAAACAAAAAACAAAAGCCCAAGUGAAAACCGCGGCGAUCUGCAUGAUUAUAAAGGGUUCAAACAUAUCCGAAAAGUUUUAUUUUUACAGUUCCGACCUUCAGUACCUAUCUCGCAUCUUUUAAGAAUCUCCUCAGCCAGUGAACAGAUUCGUUGGUUUAAGAGUGACUGUGAAGGAUCUGCAAGAGCUUCCAUCAUGUGUUGAUUAAUGAAUUAAAACCUCGCCACACGGCUAAUAGCUAGACCCAGCAUUGCGGAGCCUACCCGGAGCACUGCACGCUGUUGGAGGACUACAUCAGCAAAUCACUGGCUAAUAAAGACAGGCAGCAACAGCA